UCUGCCCCUAGCAGCGUGGCUGCUGUGUCACAUGUGUGUCAGUAGGUGGCAGAGAGGAGAGAGGCUGUGUCUAUCUCAGGGUUCUGAUCUACGAACAUCUGAGUGAUUAGUAGCCUAACAUU
Molecule: small nucleolar RNA, 122 nt
Organism: Rattus norvegicus (Norway rat)
Lineage: Eukaryota; Metazoa; Chordata; Mammalia; Rodentia; Muridae
Product: small nucleolar RNA SNORA17
Source: Ensembl